UUAUUGCACACGCGCACUUCAGAGUAGGCGUUCCCUAACGGAAAUAUGCAGCCGUCACUAGAACAUUGGAUAUCGCUAGAGCGUGCUUGGCUCUGCCCUCCUCCUUGCUUGUUCUAGUAUGCCCUCUAUGACUCAUUUGUUCCCAUUGGAAUCGACAAGCUGUGGUCUAUCUUGGUUUAGUUAUACAAAUAUUUGGUUUUGUGCUAAUUUUUACAUUACAUCGACAGCAAGCACCAGGGUCCUGAAACCCUAGCAGAAUCUUCCCUUAGGAACUUUGCCACAUAGAUUCUGGGCAUCCUGUCGGGCAUUGGGGAAUCCCUCCCUGACCAGCUUCAUGAGGUAGUCACAUGGAAUGCGUUUCAAUUAACAGCGGCCUGUGCUUCUUUGAAAAAAACAAAACAACUUUUUGUCAAAAUGGAACUAAAAAUAAGCUGGACUCUAAAACCUUCCAUGGACACUAUUAAAUCAUGUUAUGUAAUUACGAACUCAAACGUAUUGAUGUGAAAGUUGAAUUGUAUUUAUGUUAACUAUUUAUGAUUGUAAAAUGUGAAAAAUGGCAGAUUUGUUUGAAAUACAAUUUAAGCAGGACGAUGACAACUGGAGUAAACCCAUCAAACCAACUCUUGAAGUUUGUAGUUGUCUAUAAAAAAAGUUUCUCAAAAUAUUUUGCUCUAUAUUUUUACUCUUAAGUGUAGAAACUAUAAACGCAACAUGCAACAAUUUCAAAUAUUUUACUGAACAACAGUUCAUA
Long non-coding RNA from Oncorhynchus tshawytscha (Chinook salmon), 751 nucleotides. RefSeq lists it as uncharacterized. The transcript is spliced from 3 exons. The record is from RefSeq and is a predicted model, not a curated record. Lineage: Eukaryota; Metazoa; Chordata; Actinopteri; Salmoniformes; Salmonidae.